This 70-nucleotide transfer RNA is filed under the name Nitratireductor pacificus pht-3B. RNAcentral describes it as "tRNA-OTHER". The record is from RNAcentral. Lineage: Bacteria; Pseudomonadati; Pseudomonadota; Alphaproteobacteria; Hyphomicrobiales; Phyllobacteriaceae. RNAcentral also lists the same sequence under 1 other name.
GGGUCUGUCGUCUAACGGUAGGACGACGCUUCGGGCGGAUGAUCCACGGUUCGAGUCCGUGGUGGACCCC